GACUCAGGUGUGACUGAAACAUAUCUCAGGUGUGUCUGAAACAUGUUUCAGGUGUGUCUGAAACAUCUCAGGUGUGUCUGAAACAUAUCUCAGGUGUGACUGAAACAUGUCUCAGGUGUGACUGAAACAUAUCUCAGGUGUGUCUGAAACAUGUCAGGUGUGUCUGAAACAUCUCAGGUGUGACUGAAACAUAUCUCAGGUGUGACUGAAACAUAUCUCAGGUGUGACUGAAACAUAUCUCAGGUGUGACUGAAACAUAUCUCAGGUGUGUCUGAAACAUGUCUCAGGUGUGACUGAAACAUGUCUCAGGUGUGACUGAAACAUGUCUCAGGUGUGACUGAAACAUGUCUCAGGUGUGACUGAAACAUGUCUCAGGUGCAUCUGAAACAUAUCUCAGGUGUGUUUGAAACAUAUCUCAGGUGUGACUGAAACAUAUCUCAGGUGUGUUUGAAACAUAUCUCAGGUGUGACUGAAACAUGACUCAGGUGUGUCUGAAACAUCUCAGGUGUGACUGAAACAUGUCUCAGGUGUGUCUGAAACAUCUCAGGUGUGUCUGAAACAGGUGACGUUAACCUGAUGCUCCGCCCACA
Molecule: long non-coding RNA, 590 nt
Organism: Austrofundulus limnaeus
Lineage: Eukaryota; Metazoa; Chordata; Actinopteri; Cyprinodontiformes; Rivulidae
Exons: 3
Source: RefSeq, a predicted model, not a curated record